Molecule: ribosomal RNA, 790 nt
Filed under: uncultured bacterium
Lineage: Bacteria
Description: bacterial SSU rRNA
Rfam family: Bacterial small subunit ribosomal RNA
Source: RNAcentral
AGAGUUUGAUCAUGGCUCAGAUUGAACGCUGGCGGCAGGCUUAACACAUGCAAGUCGAGCGGAGAGAGGUAGCUUGCUACUGAUCUUAGCGGCGGACGGGUGAGUAAUACUUAGGAAUCUGGCUAUUAGUGGGGGACAACAUUUCGAAAGGGAUGCUAAUACCGCAUACGUCCUACGGGAGAAAGCAGGGGAUCUUCGGACCUUGCGCUAAUAGAUGAGCCUAAGUCGGAUUAGCUAGUUGGUGGGGUAAAGGCCUACCAAGGCGACGAUCUGUAGCGGGUCUGAGAGGAUGAUCCGCCACACUGGGACUGAGACACGGCCCAGACUCCUACGGGAGGCAGCAGUGGGGAAUAUUGGACAAUGGGGGGAACCCUGAUCCAGCCAUGCCGCGUGUGUGAAGAAGGCCUUAUGGUUGUAAAGCACUUUAAGCGAGGAGGAGGGUACUGGUAUUAAUACUACCAGGUACUGGACGUUACUCGCAGAAUAAGCACCGGCUAACUCUGUGCCAGCAGCCGCGGUAAUACAGAGGGUGCGAGCGUUAAUCGGAUUUACUGGGCGUAAAGCGUGCGUAGGCGGCUAAUUGAGUCGGAUGUGAAAUCCCCGAGCUUAACUUGGGAAUUGCAUUCGAUACUGGUUAGCUAGAGUGUGGGAGAGGAUGGUAGAAUUCCAGGUGUAGCGGUGAAAUGCGUAGAGAUCUGGAGGAAUACCGAUGGCGAAGGCAGCCAUCUGGCCUAACACUGACGCUGAGGUACGAAAGCAUGGGGAGCAAACAGGAUUAGAUACCCCGGUA